This is a long non-coding RNA of Vombatus ursinus (common wombat), 1117 nucleotides long. RefSeq lists it as uncharacterized. The transcript is spliced from 3 exons. The record is from RefSeq and is a predicted model, not a curated record. NCBI's taxonomy places the organism in Eukaryota, Metazoa, Chordata, Mammalia, Diprotodontia, Vombatidae.
CUUACUUCUGCAAUGUAAAUGAAACCAGAGGCAAGAGGCAACCCUACGUAGAUUCACUGCAAGGCUCCACCUUGGUUCUGGAGCAUGAAAGAUGCCACAAAAGGCCUCCUCUCGUAAGAAAGCAGGCUCAUCAGUGGGCAGAACCACUCACAAGUCUGAUAGCAGGGGAGGUUAUCAGCAGAUAAACAAGCCUGAUUCUGCAGUUUGGACCUUCCUUGCAUUGGAAAAGAAGAAAAGAGCUAAUUCAGCUAGAGAAGGCGAGGCAUUGCUCCUAACGUGGCUUUCUGUCAUCAAGGCAAAGCAAAGGAUGCAAACCCACCUUCCCCAUGUAGCCCUUCAUAUACGGAAAGACAUAUCUCUUGUCCUCCAUUCCCUUCCUCUGGAUAAAUGUCCACCAUUUCUUCAACUCUUCCUACUGUAGCAUGGUGUUGAGGCCCUGCCCCAUCCUGGCCCUCCAGACAGGUUCAAGCUUAUAAGUGACCAUCCUCAAAUGUGCCCAGGGGCGCUCUUACCAGAGAAAGUCAGUGAGGGCUAUUCUCUUGCCGUCUUGCCCAGGAGCAUGCCACCUUGGGGCUGCCAAUCACUGCUGACUUGUGUUGAAGCUAUUAAAACUCUUAGGUCUUUUUUCAGACAAUGCUUUCUGGGCACACCUCCCUCUCAUGUCUUUUACUUGUGAAUUUGAAUUUUUGAACCCAUCGGACUUUACAUUUAUCCCUGUCAAAUUUCCUCUCCAGCAUUCUAAAUUUGUCAAUCUUGGUCACUGAACAAGUUAGCCAUUCUCCCUAGCUUUGUAUGUGUUUCUGUUAUGAUGAGCAUGCUAUGAAUGAUUGCAUCAAGACAUUUACAAAAAUGAUCUAGACUACAGGGCUAAAACCAAUUGUUCAUCUCUAAUUGCCCUUCAGACAUCUUAAACUGGAUGUCCAGUAAAUGUCUUAAACUCAACAUGUCCAAAAUGGAACUCAUGAUCUUUCCCCCUAACCCCCCUUUCCUUCUACCUUCCUUAUUACUGCUGAGGGCAACACCCUUGACUGUCAGGAUCCCCACCCAAGAUUCAUCCUAGACUCCUCACUGUCUCUCACCUCCCAGAUCCAAUAUGAUGCCAAGACCUGUCAAUUUC